GAUGAACGCUGACAGAAUGCUUAACACAUGCAAGUCGAUGGGGAAGUGGUGCUUGCACCCUGGCAACCAUGGCGGACGGGUGAGUAACGCGUAAGGGACUUACCUGCAGGACUGGGAUAACAGGGGGAAACUCCUGACAAGACCGGAUAAUGUCAUGGAGCUGCAUGGCUUUAUGAUGAAAGGAGACGCCUGCGGAGAGCCUUGCGUCCUAUUAGCUAGUUGGUGAGGUAAUGGCUCACCAAGGCGAAGAUAGGUAGCCGGCCUGAGAGGGUGGACGGCCACGAGGGGACUGAGAUACGGCCCUUGCUCCUACGGGAGGCAGCGGUAGGGAAUAUUGGACAAUGGGGGCAACCCUGAUCCAGCAAUUCUGUGUGCACGAAGAAGGUUUUCGGAUUGUAAAGUGCUUUCAGCAGGGAAGAAGUAAGUGACGGUACCUGCAGAAGAAGCGACGGCUAAAUACGUG
RNAcentral lists this ribosomal RNA (463 nucleotides) under uncultured bacterium. RNAcentral describes it as "partial 16S ribosomal RNA". It matches the Rfam family "Bacterial small subunit ribosomal RNA", at positions 28 to 507 of the family's 1533-position model. The record is from RNAcentral.